UCCCCGUUACCGGGGCAGUCUGAAUAGAAAAAUCCAACUAUUCACGAGGGUUGCGCUCGUUAAAGGACUUAACCUGACAUCUCACGACACGAGCUGACGACGGCCAUGCAUCACCUGUCACUUGUCCAACUAAAUGAAGCUCUAGUUUCCUAGAGCGGCGACAAGGAUGUCAAGCCUUGGUAAGGUUCUUCGCGUAGCCUCGAAUUAAACCACACGCUCCACCGCUUGUGCGGGUCCCCGUCAAUUCCUUUGAGUUUUAGCCUCGCGGCCGUACUCCCCAGGCGGGAUACUUAACGCGUUAGCUUCGCUACCGAAGGGGUCGAUACCUCCGACAGCUAGUAUCCAUCGUUUACGGCGUAGACUAC
RNAcentral lists this unclassified non-coding RNA (365 nucleotides) under uncultured bacterium. Its description in RNAcentral is "contains 16S-23S intergenic spacer region". The record is from RNAcentral.